This 76-nucleotide transfer RNA is filed under the name Occallatibacter sp. RNAcentral describes it as "tRNA-Ala". It matches the Rfam family "tRNA". Rfam says of the family: Transfer RNA (tRNA) molecules are approximately 80 nucleotides in length. Their secondary structure includes four short double-helical elements and three loops (D, anti-codon, and T loops). Further hydrogen bonds mediate the characteristic L-shaped molecular structure. tRNAs have two regions of fundamental functional importance: the anti-codon, which is responsible for specific mRNA codon recognition, and the 3' end, to which the tRNAs corresponding amino acid is attached (by aminoacyl-tRNA synthetases). tRNAs cope with the degeneracy of the genetic code in two manners: having more than one tRNA (with a specific anti-codon) for a particular amino acid; and 'wobble' base-pairing, i.e. permitting non-standard base-pairing at the 3rd anti-codon position. RNAcentral also lists the same sequence under 5 other names. Lineage: Bacteria; Pseudomonadati; Acidobacteriota; Terriglobia; Terriglobales; Acidobacteriaceae. The record is from RNAcentral.
GGGGCUGUAGCUCAGCUGGGAGAGCGCGUGCUUUGCAAGCAUGAGGUCACCGGUUCGAUCCCGGUCAGCUCCACCA